GCCGCGGUGGCGGAAUGGCAGACGCGUAGGUCUCAAAAACCUAUUUCCGUUAAGGAAGUGUGGGUUCGACUCCCACCCGCGGCA
This 84-nucleotide transfer RNA is filed under the name Pseudomonadota bacterium. RNAcentral describes it as "tRNA-Leu". It matches the Rfam family "tRNA". From Rfam's summary of the family: Transfer RNA (tRNA) molecules are approximately 80 nucleotides in length. Their secondary structure includes four short double-helical elements and three loops (D, anti-codon, and T loops). Lineage: Bacteria; Pseudomonadati; Pseudomonadota. The record is from RNAcentral. RNAcentral also lists the same sequence under 1 other name.